GCACAUCCAAGUGAUGUACACACAUACACACACAUUCCACCGGUGACUCUGUAGUCAUCGCCUUGCUUCCAGACACCGACGUGCUUUUGGAUUUAGCAGCCGGUGCCUCCUCUCAGCGAUGGUGUAAGGAGCUGCCAGAGGCAACUGGAGUUAAUGUGAGACCACUUAUACUGAGAUGUUAGUCCCUUCCAAUUAGCAUCAACUCUACAAGGAUGGGGAUUUAAAGGAGUGUUAGGUGUUCUACAAUAAACGGGACUAACUGACAGAAGAACCUAAGGCAUCGUGAUUUUAUUUUGGUGACCACGAUUCAGAAUCAGGACAAGAAACCUGUUCCUGGUUCAUGUCAUCUUAGCAACUUUGCUAUUAAAAAGCACCAAUAGCUCCAAGAGUCUGUAGCUCUCUGCUCAGGGACAGUCUUCUGCAGCCCUUCUGUGAUCACAGGCCUACCUGGCAUUUCUCAUCCAUAUCCUUCUUCUUUCCAUUCACCCAUCUUUCCCCGUCAUGAAAGGCCUGUCCAGUAGCCGGGGUCACCAUCAUGUGGUCUCCUAUGAACCAUCAUAUGAUCCACUGGGUCACCAUGUUGACCGCAAGCCAUAUUUGAUCAGUCAGAUGGACAUGCCUGUGCCCAUUCCCAUGCCACAUCCAGCUGAGCUGCCCUACUACAAUGCUCAGCGUACCUCAUACCCCUCUGACAGCAACAGCAUCGUCCCAUAUGGAACCUUC
This is a long non-coding RNA of Oreochromis aureus, 723 nucleotides long. The record is from Ensembl. NCBI's taxonomy places the organism in Eukaryota, Metazoa, Chordata, Actinopteri, Cichliformes, Cichlidae.